CCUACGGGAGGCUGCAGUGGGGAAUAUUGGACAAUGGGGGCAACCCUGAUCCAGCCAUGCCGCGUGUGUGAAGAAGGCCCUCGGGUUGUAAAGCACUUUCAGUGAGGAAGAACGCCUGGUGGUUAAUACCCAUCAGGAAAGACAUCACUCACAGAAGAAGCACCGGCUAACUCCGUGCCAGCAGCCGCGGUAAUACGGAGGGUGCGAGCGUUAAUCGGAAUUACUGGGCGUAAAGCGCGCGUAGGUGGCUUGAUAAGCCGGUUGUGAAAGCCCCGGGCUCAACCUGGGAACGGCAUCCGGAACUGUCAAGCUAGAGUGCAGGAGAGGAAGGUAGAAUUCCCGGUGUAGCGGUGAAAUGCGUAGAGAUCGGGAGGAAUACCAGUGGCGAAGGCGGCCUUCUGGACUGACACUGACACUGAGGUGCGAAAGCGUGGGUAGCAAACAGGAUUAGAUACCCUUGUAGCC
Molecule: ribosomal RNA, 465 nt
Filed under: Vreelandella stevensii
Lineage: Bacteria; Pseudomonadati; Pseudomonadota; Gammaproteobacteria; Oceanospirillales; Halomonadaceae
Description: partial 16S ribosomal RNA
Rfam family: Bacterial small subunit ribosomal RNA
Source: RNAcentral